This 777-nucleotide ribosomal RNA is filed under the name Vitreoporus orientalis. Its description in RNAcentral is "LSU rRNA". It matches the Rfam family "Eukaryotic large subunit ribosomal RNA", at positions 77 to 840 of the family's 3401-position model. Lineage: Eukaryota; Fungi; Basidiomycota; Agaricomycetes; Polyporales; Irpicaceae. The record is from RNAcentral.
CCCCUAGUAACUGCGAGUGAAGCGGGAAAAGCUCAAAUUUAAAAUCUGGCAGUCUUUGAUUGUCCGAGUUGUAGUCUAGAGAAGCAUUUUCCGCGUUGGACCGUGUACAAGUCUCUUGGAAUAGAGCGUCAUAGAGGGUGAGAAUCCCGUCCAUGACACGGACUACCAGUGCUUUGUGAUGUGCUCUCAAAGAGUCGAGUUGUUUGGGAAUGCAGCUCAAAAUGGGUGGUAAAUUCCAUCUAAAGCUAAAUAUUGGCGAGAGACCGAUAGCGAACAAGUACCGUGAGGGAAAGAUGAAAAGCACUUUGGAAAGAGAGUUAAACAGUACGUGAAAUUGCUGAAAGGGAAACGAUUGAAGUCAGUCGCGUUAUUCAGAACUCAGCCUUACCUCGGUAUGGUGCAUUUUCUGUUUAACGGGCCAGCAUCAGUUUUGACCGCUGGAAAAAGGUCAGAGAAAUGUGGCACCUUCGGGUGUGUUAUAGUCUCUGAUUGUAUACAGUGGUUGGGACUGAGGAACUCAGUACACCUUUAUGGUCGGGGUUCGCCCACGUUUGUACUUAGGAUGCUGGCGUAAUGGCUUUAAGCGACCCGUCUUGAAACACGGACCAAGGAGUCUAACAUGCCUGCGAGUGUUUGGGUGGUAAACCCGAGCGCGUAAUGAAAGUGAAAGUUGGGAUCUCUGUCGUGGAGAGCACCGACGCCCGGCCCUGAACUUCUGUGACGGACCUGCGGUAGAGCAUGUAUGUUGGGACCCGAAAGAUGGUGAACUAUGCCUGA